This 443-nucleotide ribosomal RNA is filed under the name uncultured bacterium. RNAcentral describes it as "bacterial SSU rRNA". It matches the Rfam family "Bacterial small subunit ribosomal RNA", at positions 958 to 1398 of the family's 1533-position model. The record is from RNAcentral.
AACGCGAAGAACCUUACCAGGGCUUGACAUCCCUUGAUCGGUGCAGAAAUGCAUCCUCCAUAGCAAUAUGGCAGGGUGACAGGUGCUGCAUGGCUGUCGUCAGCUCGUGUCGUGAGAUGUUGGGUUAAGUCCCGCAACGAGCGCAACCCUCGUGGUUUGUUGCCCCCGGAUUUAUCCGAGCACUCAAACCAUACUGCCCAGAUUAACUGGGAGGAAGGCGAGGAUGACGUCAAGUCAGUAUGGCCCUUACAUCCAGGGCUGCACACGUACUACAAUGCCCAACACAAAUAGACCCUAAUCCGCGAGGAGGAGGAAAUCUCAAAAAAUUGGGCUCAGUUCAGAUUGCAGGCUGCAACUCGCCUGCAUGAAGUAGGAAUCGCUAGUAAUGAUGCAUCAGCUACGGCAUCGUGAAUACGUUCCCGGGCCUUGUACACACCGGAGUA